RNAcentral lists this long non-coding RNA (1316 nucleotides) under Olea europaea subsp. europaea. The record is from RNAcentral. Lineage: Eukaryota; Viridiplantae; Streptophyta; Magnoliopsida; Lamiales; Oleaceae.
AGGAGAGGAGCGUUUUCAACCUUCAGCAUCCAAGUUGGGGAACAAUAAAUAAUUCAUUCAUCUUCUUGUAGAUUCAUGAAAAAUGAAGUGUUAAUCAAUGGCUAUUGUAUAUUGGCGUCUUUUAAACGUUGAAUAGACACUUCCAUUGUUCUUGAGAAAAGGCUUCAACUUCUUGUUUACACUUUGAAGCUAAAUGGGUGGUUUUAGACCGGAAAGUUCGUCGGAAACUCGACAGGAAAUCGCAUACUCUUAACUAUCGCAAGGGUUUUCCUUUUUUCUUGAGUAUCAAGAUCUUGUUACUUUUAUCCCGUGAUAGAGAGGUAAUUGAUAAUCAAACUUCGUAAAUUCUUUAGCAUCAUUUUCCUGCUAAUUUUCUUGAUCGUUUGGGUUUCAUUUCAUAGAUUUGGUCUGAAGAACUAACUUCAUACUUUUACUCUCUUUUAUUUAUUCAUGCAAAUUCUAAGAUUUCCUUCCUUUACUUGGAAAGUUGAAAAAAAAUAAAACAAGAUGGGAUUUUUACUAAGUUUUAUUAGCUCCAUAUAUAUGUGUGCUAGCUUCUAUGAUUGUUUGUGAAGUUUCUUGAAGUUCAUGAAGUGGAUCCGGUUAUGGGUUUCACAGUUGUUCAGAUUUUUUGGGAACUGGAAUAGUAAAACUAUUGGACUAAAUUUAGGGUUUCCGUGUGAGAUUUUUUGCUCUUGUAAAAUCUGCAUACUCGAGCUACAGUAUUGCUAUUUAGCAUAGCAAUUUCGUGUUCUUUUGUAAGUUUUCCAGUGUUGGCCCAAUGUUUUUUCCCCUUCGGUGAAAAGUUUUGCUAAUUUCUUUGUAGAAUGCAUGUUUUGAACAGUGAAUGACAGUCUAUUUACUGUAGUUUGUGGAAGUUUUCUGAGGUGGGUUAUGGUAACAUGCUGUUUAGGUCUAUGACUACAAGAAAUCUCUCCCUCUCUCUAGCUUUCAACACAACUUAUUGAGAAAUAAUUAAAUAUUGAGGGCUUGAGCUACUCCUCUCAUAACAAGGUUUUCAUUUUAUGAUGGAACUAAAGUCUUAAUAUAGGUAUAAUCACAUGAAUUCCGGUUCAUUUUAAUGUAUUUUCUCAUUUUGUGGCGUGUGUUGUGUGAAUUAUCGUGUUAUCCACGGGUUUUGCUUCUGCAGUUGUUGAUGAUAAACUUUGUUUUUCCCAUUUUCUUUUGUUUCAUUUAUCUUCUUUUAAAGGAUUGAAAUCACUGUUGCAAUGCUUUCUUCUACAUAAACGCUAAUAUAUUGACUGGCGUGUAAUUGGACUAUUAGGCAAUGGAGAUGAGUAAUUUUGAUCCUGAAC